UGCCAGCAGCCGCGGUAAUACGGAGGGAGCUAGCGUUAAUCGGAUUUAUUGGGCGUAAAGGGCGCGUAGGCUGGCGAAUAAGUCAGAUGUGAAAUCUUGGGGCUCAACCUCAGGGCUGCAUUUGAAACUGUUUGUCUAGAGGGUAGGCGGAGAAAACGGAAUUCCACAAGUAGCGGUGAAAUGCGUAGAUAUGUGGAAGAACACCGGUGGCGAAGGCGGUUUUCUAGCUUACUCCUGACGCUGAGGCGCGAAAGUUAGGGGAUCAAACAGGAUUAGAUA
RNAcentral lists this ribosomal RNA (279 nucleotides) under uncultured bacterium. RNAcentral describes it as "partial 16S ribosomal RNA". It matches the Rfam family "Bacterial small subunit ribosomal RNA", at positions 506 to 784 of the family's 1533-position model. The record is from RNAcentral.